AACCUCCGCAAUGUGAGAAAUCGCGACGGGGGGAUCCCAAGUGCCAUUCUUAACGGGAUGGCUUUUCAUUAGUGUAAAGAGCUUUUGGAAUAAGAGCUGGGCAAGACCGGUGCCAGCCGCCGCGGUAACACCGGCAGCUCUAGUGGUAACAAUUUUUAUUGGGCCUAAAGCGUCCGUAGCCGGUUUAAUAAGUCUCUGGUGAAAUCCUGUAGCUUAACUGUGGGAAUUGCUGGAGAUACUAUUAGACUUGAGACCGGGAGAGGAUAGAGGUACUCCCAGGGUAGAGGUGAAAUUCUGUAAUCCUGGGAGGACCGCCUGUUGCGAAGGCGUCUAACUGGAACGGUUCUGACGGUGAGGGACGAAAGUUAGGGGCGCGAACCGGAUUAGAUACCCGGGUAGUCCUAACUGUAAACGAUGCGGACUUGGUGUUGGGGUGGCUUUGAGCUGCUCCAGUGCCGAAGGGAAGCUGUUAAGUCCGCCGCCGGGGAAGUACGGUCGCAAGACUGAAACUUAAAGGAAGU
RNAcentral lists this ribosomal RNA (521 nucleotides) under uncultured bacterium. RNAcentral's name for it is "bacterial SSU rRNA". It matches the Rfam family "Archaeal small subunit ribosomal RNA", at positions 345 to 866 of the family's 1478-position model. The record is from RNAcentral.